RNAcentral lists this ribosomal RNA (785 nucleotides) under Haliphthoros sp. NJM 0443. RNAcentral describes it as "eukaryotic LSU rRNA". It matches the Rfam family "Eukaryotic large subunit ribosomal RNA", at positions 38 to 667 of the family's 3401-position model. Lineage: Eukaryota; Oomycota; Peronosporomycetes; Pythiales; Haliphthoraceae. The record is from RNAcentral.
GCAUAUCAAUAAGCGGAGGAAAAGAAACUAACAAGGAUUCCCCUAGUAACGGCGAGUGAAGCGGGAAAAGCUCAAUCUUAAAAUCUCUAUGGUUUUGAUUAAUCAUGGCGAAUUGUAGUCUAAAGAAACUGUUGUCAGCAAUGUUGUGUGGGUCAAGUCCCUUGGAAAAGGGCAGCAUAGAGGGUGAUACUCCCGUCUUUACCUGUAUAACGUUGCGUACGAUACGUUUUCGUAGAGUCGAGUUGCUUGGGAAUGCAGCUCAAAGUAGGUGGUAAAUUCCAUCUAAAGCUAAAUAUAGGUGCGAGACCGAUAGCGAACAAGUACCGUGAGGGAAAGAUGAAAAGAACUUUGAAAAGAGAGUUAAAGAGUACCUGAAACUGCUGAAAGGGAAUCGCAUCGUUUCCAGUGUAAAUCUGGAGCAUAUUUCAUUGAUGAAUGCUAGUAUUUGUGCUUUGGAGUAGUAUUCUGUACACUUCUUGUGCUUGUUGCUGGUGUUUGUCGGUGCCCUGUGCUCUGGUGUGAUGUCAUAGUCAGUUUGUAUUCCGUGGGAAAUGGUCAUUGAGGAGGUAGCUGCUUGCAGUGUUAUAUCUUGAUGUCUAGUAGUCAUGGGAGAAGACUGAGGAACGUUACAACAUGCAAUGAAGUACUUGCUUGACUUCUGUUGGCCAUUCGCUUGGACAGCUUGCUGUGUUGGUGGAUGUGUUGGCGGAAGUUUGAGUAAGCAACUUGUGCUGUUCGGGACUUUGACAAAAUGGAACGAUGCGUCCCGUCUUGAAACACGGACC